Molecule: ribosomal RNA, 2428 nt
Filed under: human gut metagenome
Description: bacterial LSU rRNA
Rfam family: Bacterial large subunit ribosomal RNA
Source: RNAcentral
AGGGCGCACGGUGGAUGCCUUGGCACUAGAAGCCGAUGAAGGACGUGACUAACGACGAAAUGCUUUGGGGAGCUGUAAGUGAGCAAUGAUCCAGAGAUGUCCGAAUGGGGGAACCCGGCAGGUAAUGCCUGUCACUCAUUACUGUUAAGGUAAUGUAGAGGAAGACGCAGUGAACUGAAACAUCUAAGUAGCUGCAGGAAGAGAAAGCAAAAGCGAUUGCCUUAGUAGCGGCGAGCGAAACGGCAAGAGGGCAAACCGAAGAGUUUACUCUUCGGGGUUGUAGGACUGCAACGUGGACUUAAAGAUUAUAGAAGAACUACCUGGGAAGGUAGGCCAAAGAGAGUAAUAGCCUCGUAUUCGAAAUAGUCUUUAUACCUAGCAGUAUCCUGAGUACGGCGAGACACGAGAAAUCUCGUCGGAAUCUGGGAGGACCAUCUCCCAACCCUAAAUACUCUCUAGUGACCGAUAGUGAACCAGUACCGUGAGGGAAAGGUGAAAAGCACCCCGGAAGGGGAGUGAAAGAGAACUUGAAACCGUGUGCUUACAAGUAGUCAGAGCCCGUUAAUGGGUGAUGGCGUGCCUUUUGUAGAAUGAACCGGCGAGUUACGAUCUGAUGCAAGGUUAAGCAGCAAAUGUGGAGCCGCAGCGAAAGCGAGUCUGAAUAGGGCGUUGAGUAUUUGGUCGUAGACCCGAAACCAGGUGAUCUACCCUUGGUCAGGUUGAAGUUCAGGUAACACUGAAUGGAGGACCGAACCGACUUACGUUGAAAAGUGAGCGGAUGAACUGAGGGUAGCGGAGAAAUUCCAAUCGAACUUGGAGAUAGCUGGUUCUCUCCGAAAUAGCUUUAGGGCUAGCCUCAAGUGAUGAUUAUUGGAGGUAGAGCACUGUUUGGACGAGGGGCCCCUCUCGGGUUACCGAAUUCAGACAAACUCCGAAUGCCAAUUAAUUUAACUUGGGAGUCAGAACAUGGGUGAUAAGGUCCGUGUUCGAAAGGGAAACAGCCCAGACCACCAGCUAAGGUCCCAAAAUAUAUGUUAAGUGGAAAAGGAUGUGGCGUUGCCCAGACAACUAGGAUGUUGGCUUAGAAGCAGCCAUCAUUUAAAGAGUGCGUAAUAGCUCACUAGUCGAGUGACACUGCGCCGAAAAUGUACCGGGGCUAAACAUAUUACCGAAGCUGUGGAUUGUCCUUUGGACAAUGGUAGGAGAGCGUUCUAAGGGCGUCGAAGCAUGAUCGCAAGGACAUGUGGAGCGCUUAGAAGUGAGAAUGCCGGUGUGAGUAGCGAAAGACGGGUGAGAAUCCCGUCCACCGAUUGACUAAGGUUUCCAGAGGAAGGCUCGUCCGCUCUGGGUUAGUCGGGUCCUAAGCUGAGGCCGACAGGCGUAGGCGAUGGAUAACAGGUUGAUAUUCCUGUACCACCUAGUAUCGUUUUAAUCGAUGGGGGGACGCAGUAGGAUAGGCGAAGCGUGCUGUUGGAGUGCACGUCCAAGCAGUAAGGCUGAGUGUUAGGCAAAUCCGGCACUCAUAAGGCUGAGCUGUGAUGGGGAGAGGAAAUUGUUUCCUCGAGUCGUUGAUUUCACACUGCCGAGAAAAGCCUCUAGAUAGAUAACAGGUGCCCGUACCGCAAACCGACACAGGUAGUCAAGAUGAGAAUUCUAAGGUGAGCGAGCGAACUCUCGUUAAGGAACUCGGCAAAAUGACCCCGUAACUUCGGAAGAAGGGGUGCUGACCGCAAGGUCAGCCGCAGUGAAUAGGCCCAAACAACUGUUUAUCAAAAACACAGGUCUCUGCUAAAUCGUAAGAUGAUGUAUAGGGGCUGACGCCUGCCCGGUGCUGGAAGGUUAAGAGGAUGAGUUAGCGCAAGCGAAGCCCAGAAUUGAAGCCCCAGUAAACGGCGGCCGUAACUAUAACGGUCCUAAGGUAGCGAAAUUCCUUGUCGGGUAAGUUCCGACCCGCACGAAAGGCGUAAUGAUUUGGGCACUGUCUCAACGAGAGACUCGGUGAAAUUAUAGUACCCGUGAAGAUGCGGGUUACCCGCGACAGGACGGAAAGACCCCAUGGAGCUUUACUGUAGCUUGAUAUUGAGUGUUGGUACCGCUUGUACAGGAUAGGUAGGAGCCGUAGAGAUCGGAACGCUAGUUUCGAUGGAGGCAUUGGUGGGAUACUACCCUAGCUGUAUGAACACUCUAACCCGCGCCACUAAUCGUGGCGGGAGACAGUGUCAGGUAGGCAGUUUGACUGGGGCGGUCGCCUCCUAAAAUGUAACGGAGGCGCCCAAAGGUUCCCUCAGAAUGGUUGGAAAUCAUUCGCAGAGUGUAAAGGUAUAAGGGAGCUUGACUGCGAGAGCUACAACUCGAGCAGGGACGAAAGUCGGGCUUAGUGAUCCGGUGGUUCCGCAUGGAAGGGCCAUCGCUCAACGGAUAAAAGCUA